This 374-nucleotide unclassified non-coding RNA is filed under the name soil metagenome. Its description in RNAcentral is "partial contains internal transcribed spacer 2 and large subunit ribosomal RNA". The stretch from base 1 to 120 matches the Rfam family "5.8S ribosomal RNA", at positions 35 to 154 of the family's 154-position model. The record is from RNAcentral.
GAUGAAGAACGUAGCGAAAUGCGAUAAUUAAUGUGAAUUGCAGAAUUCCGUGAAUCAUCGAGUCUUUGAACGCACAUUGCGCCUCAUGGCAUUCCGUGAGGCAUGCCCAUCUCAGCGUUAGAAAAUAUUCUCAAAUUUUAGUUUUGUGCUAAAAUUUGGGUCAUGUCAAAGAAGCUAUUACUAUUAUUGUGAUCGCUCUUUGGAAAUUGAUAGGUCUUUGAGUUGCUACUCAUAGAACGUGAUGAAUCUUUCUUCGUUCUAUUGUAAUUCACUCUGGUAGUCCUAAAACUUGUAUGCCUGUGGCAUAUCUUGUAAUUUGACCUGAGAUUGGGUAGGGAUACCCGCUGAACUUAAGCAUAUCAAUAAGCGGAGGA